Molecule: ribosomal RNA, 465 nt
Filed under: uncultured bacterium
Lineage: Bacteria
Description: partial 16S ribosomal RNA
Rfam family: Bacterial small subunit ribosomal RNA
Source: RNAcentral
GACGAACGCUGGCGGCGUGCUUAACACAUGCAAGUCGAACGGAAAGGCCCUGCUUGCAGGGUACUCGAGUGGCGAACGGGUGAGUAACACGUGGGUGAUCUGCCCUGCACUUCGGGAUAAGCCUGGGAAACUGGGUCUAAUACCGGAUAGGAGCCAUUUUUAGUGUGAUGGUUGGAAAGUUUUUUCGGUGUAGGAUGAGCUCGCGGCCUAUCAGCUUGUUGGUGGGGUAAUGGACUACCAAGGCGGCGACGGGUAGCCGGCCUGAGAGGGUGGACGGCCACAUUGGGACUGAGAUACGGCCCAGACUCCUACGGGAGGCAGCAGUGGGGAAUAUUGCACAAUGGGCGCAAGCCUGAUGCAGAGACGCCGCGUGGGGGAUGACGGCCUUCGGGUUGUAAACUCCUUUCGCUAGGGACGAAGCUUUUUGUGACGGUACCUAGAUAAGAAGCACCGGCUAACUACGUG